Columba livia (rock pigeon) is the source of this 1450-nucleotide long non-coding RNA. RefSeq lists it as uncharacterized. The record is from RefSeq and is a predicted model, not a curated record. The transcript has 3 exons. Lineage: Eukaryota; Metazoa; Chordata; Aves; Columbiformes; Columbidae.
UUCUUAGUCUGCUGCUGAGCUGCCAUGUAAUAAGACUUGCAUCUGUGGCAGAGAUGUAUUCAAGGCACUAAAUUAUUUCUGCAAUUAUUAGAUGCCUUUAUCAGCUUUGGUUAGGCAUUUAAUCAGCCACAAAAGCUGUUUAUUGCCUCAUAAACUCCUCUGCAGCGAACAUCCAUUAAUUAAUCCCUGAAAAUUACAAAGGGUGAUGAGGUAACCUGUUUCUCACACCAGCCUUAAUUGGGUGGCCUAGGAGAGUUUGUUGCUGUUUUCCCUUUGAUUUUGUGUUUAGACAGUUGUCAGCUGGCCCAGUCAGAGAGCUUGUUAGGACAGGUAGGAGGAAUUUAGCAGCAUGGCACAGGUAACAAAUACCAGCCAAAUCACUGAGCUGUGAGAAUUACUCACAGCUGAGAAACUUGGGAGGUGAGUUGAAGUUAAACCCAAAUUUAACUCGCAUUAGAAUUGGAAGGACAAUUUGAACAGCAUGUGGCUUUAGAACUAAAUGAUGUUACAGAGUCAUUAAAAGAUUGGAGACAGCUGCUAAUUAGGACUGUUUGAAGCUGAGGACACAGUGACAAAAGCCGAUCUUCUCUUGCAUACUGAAAUGUUUCAAAUGUAUACUUGCUUCAUAUAUCAUGACUUUUUGUAUAUCAGCACUUAUAGAAAUUCAAAGCAGCUGAAAAGCAUCGAGAUCCAUCUUUGACUAGAACAACUCAAUACCUUAGAAAUCCCCUGGAAUAUGUUUUAUAGUAUGGAUGCAAGGUUUUUUACGGCAUGAGUGCAAAGUUUUGCUGUUUCCACACAUACCCCAAUCCAUACUUCCACCAGAAUCAGAUGUUAGUUGUAAACUACAGUGGUUCACAAAAUAAUAAAAAUAUUAAGUGUCAUGUUUUCAAACUUUUAUCUGGCCAUAAGAGGGCUGAAAUUAUAGCUGGAAAUUCAAAGACCUUGUGUACACUUGUUGAUUCCAGCUGAGAGCUUUACUGGGGAGGGAAGGGGAGCAAGAAACAUUCCCCUAAAUAUUUGGGAGUUGGCAGUGCUGAGUCCUACCUCAUUGCUUCUCAUGGAUGACUGCUAAAAAUUACUGUGGAAUUGCCAGUGCCUGCGGGGAAACGUGAUAUGAAGAAAGAAGAUAUUUUCAUAUAUUUGUCCAGACUGGUCGGAUCAGAACAACUUGAAGAAUAGAAACAAUCCAGCAGUGACCUCACCAUAUCGACCUUAGAACUUGUCAAGAUAAAGAGAAGCUGAGAGCUAUUUGAACAGUCUUCUGCAUCGCUGAACUCGGCCUCAUCCCACCACAAAGUCUUUUAUGAGAAGGAAGCUGAAGUUGUUGGAAUAAAUGUUCCAUGCGAUUUUACUUACCCGUUUAUCAAUGUCAUUAUGUUGGAGCUGGACAAAUCGAGCACUGAUAGCAGCAAUAUAGCUCUGCUGAUUGGAGAAAGCCACUCUGCCA